This is a long non-coding RNA of Scylla paramamosain (green mud crab), 1834 nucleotides long. RefSeq lists it as uncharacterized. NCBI's taxonomy places the organism in Eukaryota, Metazoa, Arthropoda, Malacostraca, Decapoda, Portunidae. The transcript is spliced from 9 exons. The record is from RefSeq and is a predicted model, not a curated record.
AAAUAAAUAAAAAAUAAAUAAAUAAACCUGACAGGUGGGAGUUUGAUGCGAGUCUUGAAUAUAGUGCAGUGGAAAUAUUAAUCGCUCUUUAAUCUUCGUUAUUUCACCUCAAACGAGUUUAUAUGCGAGGCCGAUGUAAACAAGGACCCAGACCAAGACCAAGAUGGAGGAUCGAAAGCCGCUGUGGAUGUGGUGUUAGGAAUUGAAAUGUAAAGAUUCCCGGUAUAAUAGGCCACGAAGAGGGACGGAAAUAAGAGGAAUUAACUAUUUCCUGCCCCUGGAAUAGUCAAGUAGUGUGUGUGCUGGGAGGACCUGAGCCACCUCCACCCCACCCUGCCCUGACACACUGGAUCCCCACCAAACCUCUCCCUGCCCCUCCCUGUGGGGGAGGAGGAGGUCUGCGCCCCGCCCGCCCCGGCCCAAUCACCUUUCAGGCUUGGGGCAAAGGGUGCGCUGCGGCUGCCCCGCCCUGACCUGAAGGGCUUCCUGCCACAGGAGGAGGAGGAGGAGGAGGAAGAGGCGCGGGUGCCCCCCCGGGGGACACGACAGCGGCGACGACGAGCCCUCCGUCCUGCACCCCCCGGCCCCCGAGCCCCGCCCCACCCACCAUCAGCCACACCAGUCCCUACCACAGCCUCUGUCCCCCGCCCCACACCAGGAGCGACUCAGAGCUGCCCUCCGCUGCGCCCCCUGCUCCCCCUAAAGCAGCAGCAGCAAGCAGCAACAGCCACAGCAGGUGUACAGCUGGCCCUACCCUCCACAACCACAGCAGUUCCAGUACCCUUAUGAUGCAGCUGAGGGGACUGACACUGCCACCACCACCACCACCACCACUGCCACCACCGCCACAACAAGGGUUAUUCAGGUGUUGCCCCAAUAUGCUUCAACCCCACAGCCCCACUCCCCCAUGACAGUGCAGGCAGGGAAUGUCAUACAGGCUACCACCACCAUGACCACCAUGACCACCACCACCACCAUGACCACCGCCGCCACCACCACCACCACCACCACCACCACCACCACCACCACCACCACCACCACAGCACUCAGCGUGGCACAGAAGGAACAGAGCCAGGCGGAAAACAAGGACUAAGAUCCACUGCCACUUCCAAAUAAGGCUACCACCACCAUGACCACCAUGACCACCACCACCACCAUGACCACCGCCGCCACCACCACCACCACCACCACCACCACCACCACCACCACCACCACCACCACAGCACUCAGCGUGGCACAGAAGGAACAGAGCCAGGCGGAAAACAAGGACUAAGAUCCACUGCCACUUCCAAAUAAGGCUACCACCACCAUGACCACCAUGACCACCACCACCACCAUGACCACCGCCGCCACCACCACCACCACCACCACCACCACCACCACCACCACCACCACAGCACUCAGCGUGGCACAGAAGGAACAGAGCCAGGCGGAAAACAAGGACUAAGAUCCACUGCCACUUCCAAAUAAGGCUACCACCACCAUGACCACCAUGACCACCACCACCACCAUGACCACCGCCACCACCACCACCACCACCACCACCACCACCACCACCACCACCACCACCACCACCACCACCACCACCACCACCACCACCACAGCACUCAGCGUGGCACAGAAGGAACAGAGCCAGGCGGAAAACAAGGACUAAGAUCCACUGCCACUUCCAAAUAAGAGGUGAACCAGGCCAACACAAGACAGAUGGGAUGCAAGAACACUGUUGACACAUCAAUACUUCAUACAAGGCAAUAAAGCGGUAUGUAUCAUCAUGCUUUAGUGUAUGAGAGCAUUGUAUAAGCCACAACACAUACAUACACUGCCAUGUACACCC